RNAcentral lists this ribosomal RNA (465 nucleotides) under Vreelandella stevensii. Its description in RNAcentral is "partial 16S ribosomal RNA". It matches the Rfam family "Bacterial small subunit ribosomal RNA", at positions 338 to 795 of the family's 1533-position model. Lineage: Bacteria; Pseudomonadati; Pseudomonadota; Gammaproteobacteria; Oceanospirillales; Halomonadaceae. The record is from RNAcentral.
CCUACGGGUGGCAGCAGUGGGGAAUAUUGGACAAUGGGCGAAAGCCUGAUCCAGCCAUGCCGCGUGUGUGAAGAAGGCCUUCGGGUUGUAAAGCACUUUCAGUGGGGAAGAAAGCCUUGGGGCUAAUACCCUCGAGGAAGGACAUCACCCACAGAAGAAGCACCGGCUAACUCCGUGCCAGCAGCCGCGGUAAUACGGAGGGUGCGAGCGUUAAUCGGAAUUACUGGGCGUAAAGCGCGCGUAGGCGGUCUGAUAAGCCGGUUGUGAAAGCCCCGGGCUCAACCUGGGAACGGCAUCCGGAACUGUCAGGCUAGAGUGCGGGAGAGGAAGGUAGAAUUCCCGGUGUAGCGGUGAAAUGCGUAGAGAUCGGGAGGAAUACCAGUGGCGAAGGCGGCCUUCUGGACUGACACUGACGCUGAGGUGCGAAAGCGUGGGUAGCAAACAGGAUUAGAUACCCCUGUAGUC